RNAcentral lists this ribosomal RNA (466 nucleotides) under uncultured bacterium. RNAcentral describes it as "partial 16S ribosomal RNA". It matches the Rfam family "Bacterial small subunit ribosomal RNA", at positions 30 to 507 of the family's 1533-position model. The record is from RNAcentral.
UGACCGCUGGCGGCGUGCUUAACACAUGCAAGUCGAACGGAAAGGCCCAAGCUUGCUUGGGUACUCGAGUGGCGAACGGGUGAGUAACACGUGGGUGAUCUGCCCUGCACUUCGGGAUAAGCCUGGGAAACUGGGUCUAAUACUGGAUAGGACCACUUCUUGGAUGGUGUGGUGGAAAGUUUUUUCGGUGUGGGAUGAGCUCGCGGCCUAUCAGCUUGUUGGUGGGGUAAUGGCCUACCAAGGCGUCGACGGGUAGCCGGCCUGAGAGGGUGUACGGCCACAUUGGGACUGAGAUACGGCCCAGACUCCUACGGGAGGCAGCAGUGGGGAAUAUUGCACAAUGGGCGCAAGCCUGAUGCAGCGACGCCGCGUGGGGGAUGACGGCCUUCGGGUUGUAAACUCCUUUCGCUAGGGACGAAGCGUUUUUGUGACGGUACCUGGAGAAGAAGCACCGGCUAACUACGUG